Molecule: unclassified non-coding RNA, 209 nt
Filed under: uncultured Leptodontidium
Lineage: Eukaryota; Fungi; Ascomycota
Description: sequence contains ITS2
Source: RNAcentral
ACGCCGCUCGAGCCCCCGUGCUCGGUGUUGGGGCGCUAGGUCUCCCAGAGGCCUAGGCCCCCAAGUAGCAGUGCGCGGUCCGGCUGCGGGCCCCGGGUAGAGUAACUUCACCGUUGAGAUGCCCUGGGACUCGCUGGCCGGGUCAGCCGUAAAACCCCCGACAUAGGCCUCCCCCAACCCGCCCGCGGGUGACGGGAGACCGCCUAAUG